Long non-coding RNA from Galleria mellonella (greater wax moth), 798 nucleotides. RefSeq lists it as uncharacterized. The transcript is spliced from 3 exons. The record is from RefSeq and is a predicted model, not a curated record. Lineage: Eukaryota; Metazoa; Arthropoda; Insecta; Lepidoptera; Pyralidae.
CUCAACCCGAAAUAUUUUAAAAAUAUAAUUAAAGGGGCCUGAGAGAUAAAACAGCAACAGAGGGUUCGAUAAAUCGUUGCGUUUCUGCACCCCGACCGCACGGUCGCCGCGCGGCGCCCGGCCGGCCCGGCGCCUCUGCGCUGUUUUUAAUUAAAUUUAUCAGAAAACACCAAACGAGCUCAACAUAGCGGCGUUUUUAAUUAACAAUAUAUGUUUUUUUUUUGUUUUCAUAGUAGUAGGUAUAGUAGUUAUAACGCGUUUUAUUCGAUAUGGGUUAUUUCAUGAUUUAUUUAUUUAGAUUUAUUUAUUUGGCUGAGAACCAAACAGGUCCUCAGCAAGCGUGACCAUAAUCAAGGAAUGCCCUACCACGCAGCAGGACACUCCAAGCUGAUCAGGCGCCACUCACGAGGGCGCUACGUCUGCUUAAUGAGAUUUCCAUAUCGCCGUCCGUUAAUAUGAGCAAGAUAAUCAAGAACUUCCCAAGUUUCCAUCGUGAACUGUUGUAAUCUCGUACGCUAGUAUCGGAAGCUAUUUACGUGUUGUGCAAUUAAGGUUUUUGGGAAUAGAAAAAAAAAUUGGAAUUUGAAUAGAACAAAGUUUUAUGUUUUGCUUCCUUAAGUUAUAUUAUCUACUGGAUACAGAAUACUAGCAUAUUUUUGGGCUGCGAUCUCAACCUUUUUUUAUACAACUUAGAAUGGAAAACAAGCUGACGGCCUACCUGAUGAAAAGUGGUAAUCGUCGCCUAUAGACAUGAGCUGUACCAUGGACAUAACAGAGUAUACUGUUUCGCCCACGAUA